UACAGAGGUCCCAAGCGUUGUUCGGAUUCAUUGGGCGUAAAGGGUGCGUAGGCGGCGCGGUAAGUCGGGUGUGAAAUCUCGGGGCUUAACUCCGAAACUGCAUUCGAUACUGCCGUGCUUGAGGACUGGAGAGGAGACUGGAAUUUACGGUGUAGCGGUGAAAUGCGUAGAUAUCGUAAGGUAGACCAGUGGCGAAGGCGGGUCUCUGGACAGUUCCUGACGCUGAGGCACGAAGGCCAGGGGAGCAAACGGG
RNAcentral lists this ribosomal RNA (253 nucleotides) under uncultured bacterium. Its description in RNAcentral is "partial 16S ribosomal RNA". It matches the Rfam family "Bacterial small subunit ribosomal RNA", at positions 524 to 776 of the family's 1533-position model. The record is from RNAcentral.